Trichosurus vulpecula (common brushtail) is the source of this 1173-nucleotide long non-coding RNA. RefSeq lists it as uncharacterized. Lineage: Eukaryota; Metazoa; Chordata; Mammalia; Diprotodontia; Phalangeridae. The transcript is spliced from 3 exons. The record is from RefSeq and is a predicted model, not a curated record.
GUUCUUUUUUCAGCUACUCUUAUCUGCUGCAUCCAAAGGGUAAAGAUCAUGGUUUACCCACAUCGUGGGAAUCAUGGACUAAACAGUUUCAGGUACCAGUGGUAAUUCCCAUUGGAUCAAAGAGUUGGAGCCAGGAUUCUACAAGACAUGGACAGCUAAACAGUUCAGCAUGAAGGCCCUGAGAAGCUGGGAUACCUGGGACUUGAGCCUGAGAUGGGGUUUGGACUUGGAUCUGUGCUCUAUGUAGGAGCCAAGCCAAGCUGUGAACCUAAUCCCUUAAACCUCCCCAGAGAAGGAGGUGCAAAGGGGAGGGAUCAUGUCUCCCACUGGUUGGGGAAAUGAUUGUCCACUCAAUGCAGCCUCUGGGUUGAGAUGCAACAGAGAAUAGAUCCAUACUUUGCUGCUUGUACUAAUUUUGGCCUGACAAUCAACACCAAGAACACAAAGGUUCUCCACCAGCCAGCACUGAACCAUCCACAUGUGGAACCAUCGGUUAUAGCUAAUGGAGAAAUUUUGACUUCUGUGAAUAAGUUCACAUACCAAAGUGUACUUGUCAGUAUACUUUCCAGGGAUGUGCUGAUAGACGAUGAGGUCAAUGGACCCAUUGUUAUGGGCUAGCUCAGCGUGUGGGAGGCUCUGAAGGAAAGUGUGGGAGAGAAGAGGUAUUAGUCUGCCUACUAAAUUGAGAGUCUAGAAUUAUCGUUGUGCUGACCUCAUCGUUGUAUGCCCUUGAAACCUGGAUAGUCCUGCCUGGAAACUGAAUCACAUCUAUUUGAAUUGUCUUAGGAAGAUGCUGAUGAUCACUUGGCAAGAUAAAGAACAGACACUGAGGGCCUUUCUCAAGCUGAACUGACAAGCGUUCAAACUCUACUGCAGAAAACACAACUCCAAUGGGCUGGGCCAUUGUUCAAAUGCCAAAUGUAUGCCUGCCUAAAAGACCAUUUUACAGAGAGCUCAUACAGGGCAAGCACUCAUGUGGAGGUCAGAAGGAGCGAUACAAGGACACUCUCAACGUCUCCCUGAAGAACUUUGGAAUCAGUCGUGAGAUGUGGAAGACACUAGCACAGGACCAUCCAGAAUGGCGUGCCCUCAUCAAGAAGGUACUAUGCUCUAUGAGCAAAGCAGAAUUGCAGUAGCUCAAAAGAAUCACAAGAUGGGCAAAUUUAGAGACAU